CUUUUAUUGAACAGGGAUGACAUCCCUUCCACUUAUUGCACAAACUUGGUAGCUUGAGACAAACAGUAGCACAGUCCAUUUGAACAUUUGUCUGAAAAGUUAGUCCGUGUUUUAGUGGCUCAGUGUCAGAGUUCCCUCCCAUCCCCCUCCUGUUGCUUCUGUGAUGCCAUGCAGGAUGAAAGGCUGAUUUCCUGACUGACCCGUCAGAGGACCAGAACACAACAGUUGGUCUAUUCAGAAAGAAUUCAACGACAGGUCAGAACUAAGCCAUGUGAGUGUGUGGCCCUGGCAUCUAUGCUAAAAAAAGUAGCUAUUGAUAAAUAGGAACAGUGAGAGCUAUUAUGUGGUUUUCUCGGCCUCCCCAGGCACACCCAGUUGCCUCGCAGACACCCCCAGCAGUGCCCCCUGCGCCCACGACCCUGACCCGGCACUGGGCACUGCGACUGUAAAGAUGUUGCUCCUGGCCACCGGGGCAUAGGUGGGACGAGGAACCUCCAGGAGCGAAACCCAGGAGAAAGUGAGGGUUCAUCAUUUCAAAACCAGAACUUCAUCAGCCCCGUGAAAACCUCAGGGCAAGUCUGACAGGCAAGCGGUCGUGUUCAGGGUGAGCCCUGCAGGGUCCCCCGGUUCCCCGGGUGAAGACAGCCUGAGUGUAUGCUGCUGGCUGCGGAAAAGUAGAGGUAGAAAGCCUGGAAGUUCUGAGAUGCAAGCGGAAUGGGUCAGACACCCCUUACACCUUGUACACUGGUCUCCAGAGCCCGUCAUCAGAAACCCAGCCUUCUCUUCAAUCUUCCACAGGGCACCCUUGAAAGCGGUGGCCCCCUCCAGCCUGCGGGGCCUCGGAGGAUCUCCAGGAGAGAUCAUUUAGGGGCCAAGGGCAGCUCUCCGGUACUAAAUAAAGCCCAGUUGCCUUGCAGAGGCUCCUCAGUACCCCCUGGGGCAUCUCCUAUGGGCUACCCAGCUACCACCCAGUUACAGAGCUGUGCUUCUCCCAACCCCCAAGCUAAUACUUCGUGUUUGACCCCCAAUUUAAGGGUGUGCUGCUAAAAGGAAGUGUUCCCUAAGCUCGCUCCUCCAGGUUCCAGGAAGCAGAUCAUUAGUUCAACAUGCUUGUUAGAGACUUGAGUGGGGCCCGAGGAGCCGCCGGCACCCUGACCAGCGCUCCGUGGUUCAGCCUGGGGUUGGUCCCCAGUUUAUUACCACGGAUGCCAACACAAGUCACGUUUGAAUCACAGUAGUGGGGAACGUGCUCAUGGUGGUGGGAUCAAUAAUCUCAGCGAGCUCGCUGAAGUGAUACACAAGGGAGACCUUGGAGAUGCAGAUUGUGGGGGUGCUGGCCCGACAGCCACCAGCUCCUCUCGGUCUUCGUGAAAACCUCAUCCUGAACCGGAAAUUCCCUCUCCCCGUCGCACCCUCCCCCGGAGGGGGGGGCCCACUCAGGGUGCUCAUGCACUUGGGGGCUCUUAGAGCAGGGUCACAGGGGAAAGUGAAGUCCCCUCCCCAGCAGGUGGGUGGUGCUCAGAGAAGAGAGAAAACGUGUGUGUGAAAAGGAGGAGGGGGGGACCCUCAAAGUCCCCUCCCCCACCCCUCCAGUGCAGAAAGUAUUAAAUACAACAAACAAGACCCACAAUUUCCUCUUUCCUGGGCCAGCUGGGUUUCAGAUAAAAGGUAGCCGCCACAGGCUGUGGUGUUUGUAGCAAAAGCCUAUGCCAAGUAAUGCUGGGUGAGGACAGCAGCAGGGGAGUGCUCAGCAUGCUCAUGAAACUGCUCUGCCACCAGGCCGCCUGGCAGCCCUCGGGACGCGCGUCAGCGCGCCCUGACGCGUCCUUCACCGGCUCUCAGGCAGUGGCGGUGGCUUCCUUGCAAUAACUCCACUCUCAACAGGAACUGGCAUUUAGCGACCCAAAGAGAAGGGGGCAUGGUUCUUCCAUCCACCGCUAACCAAGCAGAAAUCACCAAAGCACCCCAGCUGGUGAGCCAUGAGCCUUAAGACAGGUCACGUCCUCUGCCUACACACACAGGUAUAUUAGAGGUCCCUGCCAAGGGCAGCGUGGGCCUUCCAUGUCUAAGACACGCCCCCGUAGCCUUGAGUCAGCUUAUUACUACAGCCAGUCCCAUGUGCUCUACACGGUAUUUUUAAAAAAUCAGCAAAAAAGGCUUAAGCACAUGCUUCCGGGGCCUAUUUACAGUUCACAGGUUUGUGAGUUCACGCGUUACAGUAGUAGCUCCAUCAAAAACAGGCUCAGCUAAACAUUCAAGUAACAAAAGCACUACGGGGUUGUGAGCCCCAGCAAGGUCAGGCCUGCCCACUGCCUGCAAUGGGCAGUCCCACCAGGAGGCCAGGGGGAGGCCCAGGGCCACCGUGUUCUGGCUAAGGACAGCCAAGAUCUCGGGAGUCCGUGCAGGCGGUGAUGAAGCCCAGCGAGGCCAUGCUGGCAAGUGUCAAGCCUUCCUUAGCAAGCGCAUCUGUGGUUUUGCCCCUCCCCUGCCUCUCAGGGGGCUGCACACAGGCCUCGGGGUCGGGGCCCCGGCAUCCCAGCUCAGCCGUGGACUUCUGGACCAUUCGGGGUCAGCUUGGCCUUCCGCUCCACGCACGGUCCCUUGGCGGAGUAUUGCACCAGCAGGAAGGGCUCCUUGGUCUCGCCAUCCCCCACGAUGCUCUCCUCGUCUUCCGACUGGCUGAUGCGCUGCAGCCGCAGGUAGCACCAGCAGCCCAGGAUCAAGGCCCCCAGGGCCGCAAUGGCGAUGAGGAUGACGAUGACCGUGACCACACCCGUGGUGGGGCUGUGGUCCAUUAUAGACAUGGUCAGCGCCUGAGGGGGCUUCCGCAGGAGGAAGCUCGUGGGGCAGUCUGCUCAGCGAGGCUGGAACUCAGGCUGGACACGAGAGCCC
Molecule: long non-coding RNA, 2892 nt
Filed under: Canis lupus familiaris (dog)
Lineage: Eukaryota; Metazoa; Chordata; Mammalia; Carnivora; Canidae
Description: lncRNA (ENSCAFG00000057310.1, ENSCAFG00845012654.1)
Source: RNAcentral